AAGAAUGAGAGUUAUGAUCAACUCAGUAUACCACUGGAGGCUACAGGAGCAAACAGCAAACUGUUUCUCAUGAAAGCAGGAUGUUCAAAGCAGGAUGUUGGCAAAAUGACAAACUGCAUCUGCCACCCAGAAGGAAUGCUGAGGGCAGUCAUGCCCCAAGUGCAGUGUUUUUGUGAUUAGGCACAACUGAAGCUUGUUAGCAAUAAUAUGACCCUGUGAUUAAUUGAGCGGCUGACCAAUCAUUACCUCCUCCUCCCUGCUCUUUCUACCCAAUAAAUACAAAGGGCUGUGGAAGCUCAAUGGGCUGCCUUUGCUCAUUAGAAGCAGGGAGCUCUCUUCUUCUUCCCCUGGAUCCUUCCUUUAAAAUAGUUUCUUUUGUCUUAAGUUUUCAUUUCUACGUUUGUCCCUUCAUUCAGUCUCUUAAAUGACGGUCUCAAGCAGUAACAGUAGUAAUUGCUGUAAUGACGGUCUCAAGUAGUAACCAGGGCACUCUGCCACAAGUGGCACCUGAACAGGGACUAACAGGGACUAUCAAGAACAAACGGAGACCUGAAGAGACCUGAAGGGAACUGAAGAGGUCUGCAGGGACAAAUAGAGAUAAGUAGGGAUAAAUAGAGAUAAAUAGAGACAAAUAGAGAUAGGUAAGGAAUGACAGGGACUUGCAGGAAGUAACAGGGACCAUAGGGACAGAUAGGGAUAGAUAAAGACUAGCAAAGACUAGCCGAGAUUAGCAAAGACCAGCAAGGACUAGCAGAGACUAGCAAAGACUAGCAGAAACUUGCAGGGACAGGCAGAGACAGAUAGGGACAGAUAGGGUCCUACAGGGACUUGAACGAGGAAGAUCUGCUGGAAAAGAAAAGAACUACAACCAACCAGAUGAACAAGAAACCCUGUUACAAGUCUGCUGGCAGCAACAUAAGGGUAUGCUUGUUUUUGCAGGAAAUGAACAAAAAGUGUGGGUGCCCCCAAGGUGUGUACUACCAUGGAAUGGGAGAUUGGAGGGACACAUGGAUCCCAACCGUGGGCCUGGUUCCCCCAGUAUGAGCUGAAUACGAAGACAGAACAAACCACCAACCGGCAAUUGAAGGAUGAUGCCCAUUCUAUUUCCUAGGAAGGGAUAAGUUUUAAGGCCUUAUAAAAAGUGACACAAAGUGAACCGGGUUCUAUAAAUUACCAUGGAAAGUGGUGAGCCAACGAUUUGGCAGAACAAAACCCUGAGGAUAUGCAAACAAAAGGGACUAUGGAAUUUGCAAUUGCAGAUUAAAAUUGAAGAAGAAAACAUUUGAGUUGCAAAUACCGUAUUAAAAGUGGACACUGCUUAUGACUGCUGUAUGCAACAGUUUUUCAGGCCCGAGGUGAUAAAUAAAAAAUUGUUUGCUCUAUUUAA
This 1387-nucleotide long non-coding RNA is filed under the name Homo sapiens (human). RNAcentral's name for it is "HSALNT0376731". The record is from RNAcentral. Lineage: Eukaryota; Metazoa; Chordata; Mammalia; Primates; Hominidae.